CUGCUGCCUCCCGUAGGAGUCUGGGCCGUGUCUCAGUCCCAGUGUGGGGGCCUUCCNCUCNACCC
Molecule: ribosomal RNA, 65 nt
Filed under: uncultured bacterium
Lineage: Bacteria
Description: partial 16S ribosomal RNA
Source: RNAcentral